This 729-nucleotide ribosomal RNA is filed under the name uncultured bacterium. Its description in RNAcentral is "bacterial SSU rRNA". It matches the Rfam family "Bacterial small subunit ribosomal RNA", at positions 725 to 1455 of the family's 1533-position model. The record is from RNAcentral.
CNUCCUGGGAUAACACUGACGUUCAUGCUCGAAAGCGUGGGUAGCAAACAGGAUUAGAUACCCUGGUAGUCCACGCCCUAAACGAUGUCAAUUAGCUGUUGGGCAACUUGAUUGCUUAGUAGCGUAGCUAACGCGUGAAAUUGACCGCCUGGGGAGUACGGUCGCAAGAUUAAAACUCAAAGGAAUUGACGGGGACCCGCACAAGCGGUGGAUGAUGUGGAUUAAUUCGAUGCUACGCGAAGAACCUUACCUGGUCUUGACAUGUACGGAAUCCUCCAGAGACGGAGGAGUGCCUUCGGGAGCCGUAACACAGGUGCUGCAUGGCUGUCGUCAGCUCGUGUCGUGAGAUGUUGGGUUAAGUCCCGCAACGAGCGCAACCCUUGUCAUUAGUUGCCAUCAUUUAGUUGGGCACUCUAAUGAGACUGCCGGUGACAAGCCGGAGGAAGGUGGGGAUGACGUCAAGUCCUCAUGGCCCUUAUGACCAGGGCUUCACACGUCAUACAAUGGUCGGUACAGAGGGUAGCCAAGCCGCGAGGUGGAGCCAAUCUCACAAAACCGAUCGUAGUCCGGAUUGCACUCUGCAACUCGAGUGCAUGAAGUCGGAAUCGCUAGUAAUCGCAGGUCAGCAUACUGCGGUGAAUACGUUCCCGGGUCUUGUACACACCGCCCGUCACACCAUGGGAGUGGGGGAUACCAGAAGUAGGUAGGGUUACCGCAAGGAGCCCGCUU